GCAUCACAAACUGCAUCAAGAUGUUUAUUGGACACAACUGGAAGCUCAUCACGAUGAAAUACAUGGUGAACGAUGGGAGUGGCAGGAUGACAAAGGCGCGCAUGCCAAUGUGAUGGAGACAUCAUACGUCUCCAACGUAUCUAUAAGUAUUCAUGCCAUGUUUACAAUAAUUCUAUAUGAUUUUGGAAUGAUUUUAUUAGAAC
Molecule: long non-coding RNA, 203 nt
Filed under: Hordeum vulgare
Lineage: Eukaryota; Viridiplantae; Streptophyta; Magnoliopsida; Poales; Poaceae
Description: long non-coding RNA (HVUL_LNC015985)
Source: RNAcentral